GGACUACUGGGGUUUCUAAUCCCGUUCGCUCCCCUAGCUUUCGCGCCUCAGCGUCAGAAGAGGUCCAGCACGUCGCUUUCGCCACCGGCGUUCCUUCCGAUAUCAACGCAUUUCACCGCUCCACCGGAAGUUCCACAUGCCCCUACCUCCCUCGAGACAGCCAGUUUCAAAGGCAAUUUUCCGGUUGAGCCGAAAGAUUUCACCCCUGACUUGGCCGCCCGCCUACGCGCCCUUUAAGCCCAGUGAUUCCGAACAACGUUUGCACGGUUCGUCUUACCGCGGCUGCUGGCAC
RNAcentral lists this ribosomal RNA (292 nucleotides) under uncultured bacterium. Its description in RNAcentral is "partial 16S ribosomal RNA". The record is from RNAcentral. RNAcentral also lists the same sequence under 2 other names.